Long non-coding RNA from Candoia aspera, 713 nucleotides. RefSeq lists it as uncharacterized. The record is from RefSeq and is a predicted model, not a curated record. NCBI's taxonomy places the organism in Eukaryota, Metazoa, Chordata, Lepidosauria, Squamata, Candoiidae. The transcript has 2 exons.
CUGGAGAAUUCUGGGAGUUGAAGUCCACACUUCUUAAAAUGGCUAAGGUUGAGAAACGCUGGUCUAGAGGGACACUGAAUUCCCACUCUUAAUGUAAAAGGGAAGCAGCUCCCCGAUUACUUCAAAUGCUCCAAAUAAUGCUUCAAACUUGACCCAAAUCUUUCUCAAUUUGGAGCUCUUCACAUGUGUUGAAACUACAUGUAGUCCCAACACAUCUGGAAAGCUCUAAGUUGGGGGAAGCUGUCUACACCAAUGAAAACUUUAUACAUUUUUUAUUUUGCUUUAAGCACUUAAUGUCACUUUUCCAUUGAUGAAUUAAGACAUUCAGAACUUAGAAUGGCUUGAAUACAACAUGGUAAUGAGAAAUGUUUACAGAUUUGGAAGGGCACAGUUGAGAAAAAGUUAAUUAUCAGGAAUAGAAAGCACAUAUUUCUCUUUAUAAUAUCAAAGCCUGCUAGGCCUAAUAUGAAGUGACUGUUUUUCUUUUAAUAUCGAAUCUAGAUUAAUAAUAUUUCUGCCUUUAUUCCUAAUGCUUAAUAUGUAUAACCAUUUUGUAUAUGAGUGUGUUUGUAAUAUGUAAGGGGCUCUGUAAACUGAAUGUGAUGAGUUAUGCAUACUGUCAAAUCAUUUAAAACUAUUUACUCCAUCUAAUAAAUGAAGCCAUUUUCCCAUGUGAUUUUUUAAAUCAGAUGGAAGUGUCAGUAAAAGAUUUA